This 74-nucleotide transfer RNA is filed under the name Ixodes scapularis (black-legged tick). RNAcentral describes it as "tRNA-Ser for anticodon GGA". It matches the Rfam family "tRNA". Rfam says of the family: Transfer RNA (tRNA) molecules are approximately 80 nucleotides in length. Their secondary structure includes four short double-helical elements and three loops (D, anti-codon, and T loops). The record is from RNAcentral. Lineage: Eukaryota; Metazoa; Arthropoda; Arachnida; Ixodida; Ixodidae.
GCCGGGAUGGUCUAAUCGGUUAAGGCGUCGCCCCGGACAGGCGAAGGUUGCGGGUUCAAUUCCCGCUCUCGGCC